GUGCUCACCUCUGCAGCGCAUACUAAAAAAUCAGAACAAUAAAGAGAAGAUUAGCAUGGCCCCUGUGCGAGGAUGACACAUAAAUUCAAAAAGCAUCCACCCCCCCC
Molecule: small nuclear RNA, 107 nt
Organism: Cynocephalus volans (Philippine flying lemur)
Lineage: Eukaryota; Metazoa; Chordata; Mammalia; Dermoptera; Cynocephalidae
Source: RefSeq, a predicted model, not a curated record